CAGCCGCCGCGGUAAUACGAAGGGGGCUAGCGUUGCUCGGAAUCACUGGGCGUAAAGGGUGCGUAGGCGGGUUUUUAAGUCAGAGGUGAAAUCCUGGAGCUCAACUCCAGAACUGCCUUUGAUACUGAAAGUCUUGAGUAUGGGAGAGGUGAGUGGAACUGCGAGUGUAGAGGUGAAAUUCGUAGAUAUUCGCAAGAACACCAGUGGCGAAGGCGGCUCACUGGCCCAUAACUGACGCUGAGGCACGAAAGCGUGGGGAGCAAACAGGAUUAGAGACCCCCGUAGUCCCUGUCUCUUAUAC
RNAcentral lists this ribosomal RNA (301 nucleotides) under uncultured bacterium. Its description in RNAcentral is "partial 16S ribosomal RNA". It matches the Rfam family "Bacterial small subunit ribosomal RNA", at positions 509 to 807 of the family's 1533-position model. The record is from RNAcentral.